Oreochromis niloticus (Nile tilapia) is the source of this 5813-nucleotide long non-coding RNA. The record is from Ensembl. Lineage: Eukaryota; Metazoa; Chordata; Actinopteri; Cichliformes; Cichlidae.
AUGAUUCCGUUUCGGGCUCUCGGAUUUGUUUGUUUAAUUAUUGGCUUCAGCGCUGCAUAUGAGCCUGCAGCUGGAGCAAAUGCAGCCUCCAAAAACCACUGUUCCCGAAAAGAUUGCAAUGGAAUACAAUAUGACAUCCAAGAGGCUGCUUGCUGUGAAAACAAACUUCAUCCAGGUUCAAACCUGUUUUGUUGUGGAAAGGAGCCUUACAAUCCUGGUACAGCCACUUGUUGUAAAGUUCAACAUGGAAAGAUCCUCACAGCCAGUGUUACUCAGGGUCUGAGUGAAAAGGUGUCCAAGUGCUGUGACCUGAAGGCCUACAACCCAGUCAAUGAAAUGUGUUGUCAAUCAACCAUCAUAUCAAAACCUGGACCAAUGGCUGAAUGCUGUGUUAAAGAUGUUUUUGAUGAGGACAAGCAGUUGUGUUGUGGUCCAGCUGAUAAUAAGACAAUUCUGGUGAGGAAUUCCCGUCACCAUGAGUGCUGUGGUCACAGCCAGUACGACACUGAGACUCAGUGCUGCUGUUCAAAUGAGGAGAAGAUGGAGAUACAAUCGAAGGAUUCAUCCUGCUGUGUCAAGAAUUUCACUCCAGGCCUUUCAAGUGGAAAUACCACCUUCAACAAACCUUCACCAAAGCAUGGAUAUUGUGGUGAAGAGAUUUACGAUAUGGAAAAUAAGUUGUGUUGUGGUCCAAAUAAUGAUAAAAAGAUCCUGACAAAGAAGUCCAGAGAUCAUGUGUGCUGUCAUCAUGGCCAGUUCAACGUCAAAACUGAGUGCUGCUGUUAUAACAAUCAUAUUGCUGAAGUACAGUUGACGAAUUCAUCUUGCUGUAUGAAACAGCAGAUAUUCAAGCUCCAACCCAAAUGCACUGAACCAAACACACAUCUCUGUGGGUCGUCGUGUUACAAUCCAAAGCAAAAUCGCUGCUGUGAGAGUAACCACGAGCCUCACUCACUUGACAACUCAGGUCAAAGGAAGGCCACAGCCACCGUGUACAACCCACAUACUCAGGUCUGCUGUGAUGGACGUGUAUCUCCGUGGAAGCCUUGGAUCGAUCAGUGCUGUGGAGAGACGCCGUAUGGCUCGGCACAACGUGGAGCUCUGUCUUGUAAUAAGACCUUGUACGAGGACAGAUAUGAUGGAGAGGAAUGUUCAGAGAUGGGUAUUCCUUACAACCCGGCUAAAGGGACCAUAUGUUGUUCUCAGUUUCAUGGCAGCCCAGGACAACACUGCUGUGGGACAGAAAUUUACCGGCCUCGUACUGAGAUCUGCUGCAAUGGACACAGACAUCUGAAAUCAGAAAACAUUCACUGCUGUGGGGUCAAAGCCUACAACAUUAAAGACCCACAGAUGAAGUGCUGUGCAGGAACACUGUACAAUCUGACAUCAUUAGACAAGCAUGGAGGGGAUGCGCAGUGCUGCGGAUCCAUUCUGCAAAAGCCACAGGUAGAAUUAGUAAUGAUGUUAUGAAAAUAUGUUGUUUGUUUAUCUUAUUUGUGUAUUCCACUGUAUUAUGUCAUUAGAUUUAACACAGCUACUCCUGCCUUGAUGCAAAGUGAGAGUAGGUAUGUUGGACACCCUGUCCCAUAACUUUUCACACUGUGUGUUUUGUUUACAGUAUCCUAUCAUUGUUAAAGCGCCUCUUUCUGACUGGUGUCUUCUGCCUCUUGGUGUCAUUUCAAAAUGACGGACAAACCAUGAUUUGAUCAAUAUGAAAAUGGAAAAAAGAAACAACUGUUAAAAAGUUACCUUUCUUGAGCUUUUUAACUAUCUCAGAGUCCUGUCUGUAAUUUUGAAGCAACAUGAAUAACACUGGUAAAGGAGAGAAACUGAUAUGGGCCUGAGGGGUAAACAUUUAGGAAACCGCAACUCUCUCUCUAACUGCAUAACUGAACUACAAAUCCAAAAUAUAUUUAACUUAAGCACAGUCAGCAUAAAGUGAAUGAAAACAGCAUGCUGUAACAAGUGACUCAUCACUGGAGCUACUUGGAAACUGUUGAAAACUUUUCAUAAACAUUUAGAGCAGGGCUCUAGAGUGCGACCAAUUUGGUCGCAAAUGCGACCAAAUUUUUCAGUGGUGCGACUAAAAUAAAAUUUGGUCGCACCAAUGCAACCAAAUAUGUUCGGGUAAAAAAAAAAAAAAAAAUCUCUGCAACUCUCCGUGUGGUCAACAACAGACACACAUUAUGCCCCUAUCGUGGACUAAACCAAUCAGAGCUAGUCAGGGGCGGGACCUCUCUGAUUGGCCGUGGUCCAGUUGAAAGUGCAGGUGGAAGAGAGAGGUGAGUAGCUUGAAUAAAGCGAUAUCGAUUCAUUAACAGAUUCCACACAAAGACGUAAACACAGAGCGACCCAACGCAUCAGAAUCAGCUUUGUCUUUCUCGGCUUUCUCACCUGACGGCCCGAACACGGACACGCUGUCGUAGCUCACCGAGCCCACCGUCCGCGCUGUGUUUACAUCUUUUUGCGCUGAUUAUGAGCUGCAGGUUUUGUCUCUCCGACCAAAAUUCACCAAGCCAGCAGCAAAAGAAGCAGCAAACUGCGCUUCACAUUUGAUCAAUGUCGUCAUGAAUUCCCUCUGAGUUUUGCUGUUUUGCUUCCACCACGAUAAAAUUACACUUCAUGCACAGCUCUCUCUCUCUCUCUGUACUUCAAGAACAGUUUCCCGUCUCAAAUCUCUGUUUUCUGCAUUAUUCAUUUGCUUAUUACCCACCAGUCUACCGUUGUUUACAGCGCUGUCGGCCGCUGUCUUUUUCUUUUCUUUUUUUUUUUCACUUAAAUGACCUCGGACAAGAAAGCCUAAUUUCUGCUGUUCAAUACUGAAGAAAUUUAAACUUCUUAAAAUUGUGCAAAAUUACAGAAUAUUUUAAGGUUAUCUGCUAUAAAAAGUCAGGUCAGAAAAAUCUCCUUCAUGUUUUUCUGUGUUUUAUUCUCAGUUACUUUGACACAAAGGCAUCUGCUGUGAUGUUCACAAUUCUGAUGAAGUCUCACAUGUAUCAGUACUGAUAAAUGAUCAGAAUUAUAAUAUUUCUGACUGUCUGAGGAAAAUUGAAUCGAAUGGAUUAUAGAAAUCAGCGAUGAUACCCAGCCCUAGUGAGCAGCCUAGGCCUGACAGAAGUGGAUGUAGCUGUAAUAAGAAAAGAACUAUUGAUAACUUUUCUGUUAAGGCCUGAUCCGUCUGAAAUUCAUAGCCAGCUCUGACACGGUGCCAUCAAUCUUUGAAUGCUGAAGAAGCACAGUGUAUACAGAAAACACAUUAUAUGCUGCAAUAAAUGCACUGCCCAAGUGUCCCCUCUCCCCACUGCCUUUCAGCAGCAUGCAACAGCAAACAGGUCGUCAGCGGAGCCAAGAUGAUGAUUAAGUUUAACAUUUUCUACAAUAUUGACAAAGUAUUUUAAGCACAAGAUUGUUAGUUAAUAAUUUAGAAAUGAAUAUUAUCUGUAUGGACUGCAACUCCCCGCCCCAAAAAAGUGCACAUGUAAAACUGCGGUGUUAAGUGAUGCGGUUGAAAAAUUUGAAAAGUUAGGCGCACCUGUGCGCCCAUGGCAAAAAGUUAGUCUAGAGCCCUGAUUUAGAGGCUUUUUUAAAGCAGAAUAAUCAUCUUCUGUGUAUAUUUUAUGAUUCUUUCUGCAAAAGCUAGACUCACAACAAUUCAGUAGAGAUUAUUGGCAAAAGAAGCAAUUCUAAUCUGAACCAGCAACAAUUAUCAGGGUUGAUGAACCAUUAUAAUCAUGUCCUUUCAAAUGCUUCAUCUCUCUAUCAUGAAACUGUUUGCUGGAAGUAUUUACUGUAUAUUUGACAGUCAGACUGACUUUAGUCAAAGUAAUCUUUUAUAGUAAUCUCCAAAAAUUUUACCUGAUAUCAGCUGUGUAUCAACAUUACUGGCUGAAGUUGACUUUAUGGCUUGUCUGAACUAACACAGUGUUCAAUGAGUCCAAACAAUCAUGCUUCUAUUUAACAUAAAAUGCUAUAUAUCUUUUCAAAAACCAGGACAUUUGCUGCUCAAGUGAGGACAAAGAGGUGCUCUACUCUGCCAAAAUAGGGUUCAGAUGCUGUGGUCACCUUUACUAUAACACCACCCUGUGGUCAUGCUGUGCUGGGGGGCUGAGAAGAAUCCGUGAACCAGGACAGGAUCAGAGAAAGAUGAUUAAUGGUCUGUUGUGUCUGAUGAGAUGUUCUCUCACAAAGUUUAUCUUCAGUGUAUGUCAUAUUAUCUCAAUGCCACAGCCCAGAUUCUGUAUUUAACCAAUAAUACACCUAUAAUGUUCUUGUUUUUAGGAUCCAGACUUCUAUCUGUGAAUAAUCUGAACAAAAUCGAUCUUUGCAAAGAAAGUAAGAUAUCAUCUGUAAUUUAGAUUUUUUUUUUUUAAACAUCAGAACAAAUGCUGUUUACAAGUAUAUGUAAAGUACUUGUGUGUCUCAUUGUUUAGUGCACAUUGGGACUGUGGAAAGUGUGUCGCUGCAGAGCAUUGUGUUCAGGAGUGUGCUGAAGGUCCAUGGGAUGGAGGCCAAAGUGAAAGCUCUGCCAUUCCCUUACAUCCUGGAAAGAGAUGAUCGCUGCAGCUCCCCUAAACUGAUUGCUGGGAAGACCUACUACUUUAACAAAGUUAAUGUUUUCAUUGAUUUCAAUCAUGACUCUGUUCUUCAGUCACUCCAUUUCAUUAUUUGCAAAUGUUCAUCUCAGGUCACCACUGGCUGAUGUAUACAUGGUCAGUGUGGAUCUGUUGCUCCCUUCUUUGAACAAGUUCUCUUUUUUCACAUAUUUACUCACAGUGUUGGCUUUGUCACACAGAAAAUUAAUUAAUUACACAUCACAUUAUACUGGUUAACAUUAUUUUACAAAGUAAUUUGUUACCAUAUUUAUUACAGAGUACUUGUUGCAUUGCAACCUAAUAUACUCACCCCAAAUUACUCUCUGAUGCACCCAUCACAGUGUGAAUGUUUGCUUGAACUUAAACACAGAAAGAAGUCGUUGUAUGAAUGUGUGAAUGAGGGACGUUGUAUCAAGCGCUUUGAGUGCUCAGGUAGGGUAGAAAAGUGUUAUAUAGAAGAACCUGUCCAUUUAUCAGUAGUAUACAAUACUUCACAUGAUAUGUUGUUUAUACAUUACUCUGCCUAUGUCCAGCCAAACCAUGUUGCUCUGUUGUUAACACAUCCCAAGAUGUCUUAUCACAGACAGAAUUUAGGUACUUUAAGUAAAGAAAACAAAAAACAAUGUAGCUUUUAACUUCAGUUUUACAGGGACUCACAUUGUAGUGAUUCACACAACUUGACAUUAAUCAAUACUGUAACACAGUAAGCUGGUGCACAAUGUUGUUUCUCAAAUCUAAAUUUGAACAAAAUCUAAAUGUAACUUUGAUUCUUGCACUGAUCUAAAAUACAAGGGACAACUGUGUGCACAUGUCCUUGAACCAUACAAUUCAAUACUUGUGGUAAAGUCCAUGAUUUACUGUGAUUGUUAAUUCUAAUGAAUGAUAAACACUUAAUGCCAAUAUCAUGAAUACAAAUAUGUUAGAAGGACCCACUAAAAAUUCCAUUAGUUUCUGUUUCUUUGAAUGUGAUUCAUGUAAAAUAGUUAAUGGUAAGGAUAGGUAUGGGAAUUUAAGAAUGGUAAGGAAUCUAGUAAGGACUUGAGGGACAUUUAAGCUAUAAGCAAACAUAAACACUGCCUGCUUGAUUUAGUGACUUUGUUGUUAAUAUAAUAUAUUGCAUAUAUAUAUUGUAAAUGUUUAAUAUUUGAAUGGACCUAUUAUCCUUUAAGGAUUCAAAUAAAUAAAUACAAACACUUAUUAAACCUGCUGUGUUUUCUCUUG